RNAcentral lists this ribosomal RNA (808 nucleotides) under uncultured bacterium. Its description in RNAcentral is "bacterial SSU rRNA". It matches the Rfam family "Bacterial small subunit ribosomal RNA", at positions 60 to 874 of the family's 1533-position model. The record is from RNAcentral.
AGUCGAGGGGUAGAACACUUCGGUGUUUGAGACCGGCGCACGGGUGCGUAACGCGUAUGCAAUCUACCUUUUACAGGGGAAUAGCCCAGAGAAAUUUGGAUUAAUGCCCCAUAGUAUAAUUGAAUGGCAUCAUUUGAUUAUUAAAGUUCCAACGGUAAAAGAUGAGCAUGCGUCCCAUUAGUUAGUUGGUAAGGUAACGGCUUACCAAGACGAUGAUGGGUAGGGGUCCUGAGAGGGAGAUCCCCCACACUGGUACUGAGACACGGACCAGACUCCUACGGGAGGCAGCAGUGAGGAAUAUUGGACAAUGGGCGCAAGCCUGAUCCAGCCAUGCCGCGUGCAGGAAGAAGCAUCUAUGGUGUGUAAACUGCUUUUGUACGGGAAGAAACACUCCUUCGUGAAGGAGCUUGACGGUACCGUAAGAAUAAGGAUCGGCUAACUCCGUGCCAGCAGCCGCGGUAAUACGGAGGAUCCAAGCGUUAUCCGGAAUCAUUGGGUUUAAAGGGUCCGUAGGCGGUCUUAUAAGUCAGUGGUGAAAUCUCCCCGCUCAACGGGGAAACGGCCAUUGAUACUGUAGGACUUGAAUUAUUAGGAAGUAACUAGAAUAUGUAGUGUAGCGGUGAAAUGCUUAGAGAUUACAUGGAAUACCAAUUGCGAAGGCAGGUUACUACUAAUGGAUUGACGCUGAUGGACGAAAGCGUGGGUAGCGAACAGGAUUAGAUACCCUGGUAGUCCACGCCGUAAACGAUGGAUACUAGCUGUUGGGCGCAAGUUCAGUGGCUAAGCGAAAGUGAUAAGUAUCCCACCU